This 465-nucleotide ribosomal RNA is filed under the name uncultured bacterium. RNAcentral's name for it is "partial 16S ribosomal RNA". It matches the Rfam family "Bacterial small subunit ribosomal RNA", at positions 28 to 507 of the family's 1533-position model. The record is from RNAcentral.
GACGAACGCUGGCGGCGUGCUUAACACAUGCAAGUCGAACGGUAAGGCCCCUUCGGGGGUACACGAGUGGCGAACGGGUGAGUAGCACGUGAGCAACCUGCCCUUGACUCUGGAAUAACAGUUGGAAACAGCUGCUAAUACUGGAUAUUCAUCGUCUCCUUCCUGGGGGGUGGUGGAAAGCUCCGGCGGUCAGGGAUGGGCUCGCGGCCUAUCAGCUUGUUGGUGAGGUAAUGGCUCACCAAGGCUUCGACGGGUAGCCGGCCUGAGAGGGCGACCGGCCACACUGGGACUGCGAUACGGCCCAGACUCCUACGGGAGGCAGCAGUGGGGAAUAUUGCACAAUGGGCGCAAGCCUGAUGCAGUAACGCCGCGUGCGGGAUGACGGCCUUCGGGUUGUAAACCGCUUUCAGUAGGGACGAAGGGUGACUGACGGUACCUACAGAAGAAGGACCGGCUAACUACGUG